UCCUGUAGGCCAUACUGGGCUGAAAGUCCCCGAUCUUGUCUGAUCUUGGAAGGUAAACUGCCCCGGGCGUGGCUAGUAUUUGGAUGGGUGACCGCCUGGGAAUCCCAGGUGCUGUAGGCA
This is a ribosomal RNA of Pelusios castaneus (West African mud turtle), 120 nucleotides long. NCBI's taxonomy places the organism in Eukaryota, Metazoa, Chordata, Testudines, Pelomedusidae. The record is from Ensembl.